This 440-nucleotide ribosomal RNA is filed under the name uncultured bacterium. Its description in RNAcentral is "partial 16S ribosomal RNA". It matches the Rfam family "Bacterial small subunit ribosomal RNA", at positions 338 to 795 of the family's 1533-position model. The record is from RNAcentral.
CCUACGGGAGGCAGCAGUGGGGGAUAUUGCACAAUGGGGGGAACCCUGAUGCAGCGACGCCGCGUGUGGGAAGACGGUCCUCUGGAUUGUAAACCACUGUCCCCAGGGACGAAAAUGACGGUACCUGGGGAGGAAGCUCCGGCUAACCACGUGCCAGCAGCCGCGGUAAUACGUGGGGAGCGAGCGUUGUCCGGAAAUACUGGGUGAAAGGGGAGCGUAGGCGGGGAUGCAAGUUGGGUGUCAAAACUACCGGCUCAACUGGUAGUCGAACUCAAAACUGCAGCUCUUGAGUGAAGUAGAGGCAGGCGGAAUUCCUAGUGUAGCGGUGAAAUGCGUAGAUAUUAGGAGGAACACCAGUGGCGAAGGCGGCCUGCUGGGCUUUUACUGACGCUGAGGCGCGAAAGUGUGGGGAGCAAACAGGAUUAGAUACCCUAGUAGUC